Molecule: ribosomal RNA, 1327 nt
Filed under: Coconut palm phytoplasma
Lineage: Bacteria; Bacillati; Mycoplasmatota; Mollicutes; Acholeplasmatales; Acholeplasmataceae
Description: bacterial SSU rRNA
Rfam family: Bacterial small subunit ribosomal RNA
Source: RNAcentral
UUUAGAUUUUAGUGGCGACGGGUGAGUAACACGUAAGCAACCUGCCUUUAAGACGAGAAUAACAAUUGGAAACAGUUGCUAAGGCUGGAUAGGAAAUAAAAAGGCAUCUUUUUAUUUUUAAAAGACCUUCUUCGGAGGGUAUGCUUAAAGAGGGGCUUGCGUCACAUUAGUUAGUUGGUAGGGUAAUGGCCUACCAAGACGAUGAUGUGUAGCUGGACUGAGAGGUUGAACAGCCACAUUGGGACUGAGACACGGCCCAAACUCCUACGGGAGGCAGCAGUAGGGAAUUUUCGGCAAUGGAGGAAACUCUGACCGAGCAACGCCGCGUGAACGACGAAGUACUUCGGUAUGUAAAGUUCUUUUAUUGAAGAAGAAACAAUAGUGGAAAAACUAUCUUGACGUUAUUCAAUGAAUAAGCCCCGGCUAACUAUGUGCCAGCAGCCGCGGUAAUACAUAGGGGGCGAGCGUUAUCCGGAAUUAUUGGGCGUAAAGGGUGCGUAGGCGGUUUAAUAAGUCUCUAGUUUAAUUUCAACGCUUAACGUUGUCCUGCUAGAGAAACUGUUUGACUAGAGUGAGAUAGAGGUAAGCGGAAUUCCAUGUGUAGCGGUAAAAUGUGUAAAUAUAUGGAGGAACACCAGAGGCGUAGGCGGCUUACUGGGUCUUUACUGACGCUGAUGCACGAAAGCGUGGGGAGCAAACAGGAUUAGAUACCCUGGUAGUCCACGCCGUAAACUAUGAGUACUAAGUGUCGGGGUUAAACUCGGUACUGAAGUUAACACAUUAAGUACUCCGCCUGAGUAGUACGUACGCAAGUAUGAAACUUAAAGGAAUUGACGGGAUCCCGCACAAGCGGUGGAUCAUGUUGUUUAAUUCGAAGAUACACGAAAAACCUUACCAGGUCUUGACAUACUCUGCAAAACUAUAGAAAUAUAGUGGAGGUUAUCAGGGAUACAGGUGGUGCAUGGUUGUCGUCAGCUCGUGUCGUGAGAUGUUAGGUUAAGUUCUAAAACGAGCGCAACCCCUGUCGUUAAUUGCCAGCACGUUAUGGUGGGGACUUUAGCGAGACUGCCAAUGAAAAAUUGGAGGAAGGUGGGGAUUACGUCAAAUCAUCAUGCCCCUUAUGAUCUGGGCUACAAACGUGAUACAAUGGCUAUUACAAAGAGUAGCUUAAACGCGAGUUUUUGGCAAAUCUCAAAAAAAUAGUCUUAGUUCGGAUUGAAGUCUGCAACUCGACUUCAUGAAGUUGGAAUCGCUAGUAAUCGCGAAUCAGCAUGUCGCGGUGAAUACGUUCUCGGGGUUUGUACACACCGCCCGUCAAACCACGAAA